AUUGAACGCUGGCGGCAGGCCUAACACAUGCAAGUCGAACGGUAGCACAGAGGAGCUUGCUCCUUGGGUGACGAGUGGCGGACGGGUGAGUAAUGUCUGGGAAACUGCCCGAUGGAGGGGGAUAACUACUGGAAACGGUAGCUAAUACCGCAUAACGUCUUCGGACCAAAGUGGAGGACCUUCGGGCCUCACACCAUCGGAUGUGCCCAGAUGGGAUUAGCUAGUAGGUGGGGUAAUGGCUCACCUAGGCGACGAUCCCUAGCUGGUCUGAGAGGAUGACCAGCCACACUGGAACUGAGACACGGUCCAGACUCCUACGGGAGGCAGCAGUGGGGAAUAUUGCACAAUGGGCGCAAGCCUGAUGCAGCCAUGCCGCGUGUAUGAAGAAGGCCUUCGGGUUGUAGAGUACUUUCAGCGGGGAGGAAGGCGUUAAGGUUAAUAACCUUGGCGAUUGACGUUACCCGCAGAAGAAGCACCGGCUAACUCCGUGCCAGCAGCCGCAGUAA
Molecule: ribosomal RNA, 506 nt
Filed under: uncultured bacterium
Lineage: Bacteria
Description: partial 16S ribosomal RNA
Rfam family: Bacterial small subunit ribosomal RNA
Source: RNAcentral